GAGAGUGGGUAGUCCGCACGAGCGCACCCUAUCCUUAGUUGCCAGCACAUUAUGGUGGGGACUCUAAGGAGACUGCCUGGGAUAACCAGGAGGAAGGUGGGGAUGAUGUCAAGUCAGUAUGUCCCUUAUGUCCAGGGCUACACACGUGUUACAAUGGUUGGUACAGAGGGCAGCUAAGCCGCAAGGUGGAGCCAAUCCCCCAAAACCAACCCCAGUUCGGAUUGGAGUCUGCAACUCGACUCCAUGAAGCAGGAAUCGCUAGUAAUCGUGGAUCAGAACGCCACGGUGAAUACGUUCCCGGGUCUUGUACACACCGCCCGUCACGCCAUGGAAGUCAGUAGUACCCGAAUCGAGUGGCCCAACCUUAGGGAGGGAGCUCGUUAAGGUAAGACUGGUAACUGGGGUGAAGUCGUAACAAGGUAGCCGUAGGAGAACCUGCGGCUGGAUCACCUCCUUUCU
Molecule: ribosomal RNA, 459 nt
Filed under: uncultured delta proteobacterium
Lineage: Bacteria; Deltaproteobacteria
Description: bacterial SSU rRNA
Rfam family: Bacterial small subunit ribosomal RNA
Source: RNAcentral